AAAGUCGUAACAAGGUUUCCAUAGAUGAACCUACAGAAAGAUCAUUAUCAAAACAGCGGACUUCGAUCCUUACUGCACCCUUGUCUUUUGCGUACCGUAUGUUUCCUCGGCGGGCUUGCCUGCCGGUUGGACAAUAUCAAACCUUUUUGUAGUUGCAAUCAGCGUCAGAAAACAAAUAAUAAUUACAACUUUCAACAACGGAUCUCUUGGUUCUG
This 215-nucleotide unclassified non-coding RNA is filed under the name Basidiomycota sp. Its description in RNAcentral is "partial contains small subunit ribosomal RNA, internal transcribed spacer 1, and 5.8S ribosomal RNA". Lineage: Eukaryota; Fungi; Basidiomycota. The record is from RNAcentral.